This 802-nucleotide ribosomal RNA is filed under the name Janibacter sp. F39. RNAcentral describes it as "bacterial SSU rRNA". It matches the Rfam family "Bacterial small subunit ribosomal RNA", at positions 194 to 1004 of the family's 1533-position model. Lineage: Bacteria; Bacillati; Actinomycetota; Actinomycetes; Micrococcales; Intrasporangiaceae. The record is from RNAcentral.
GGGUAUGGUUUGGAUAGUUUUUCGGUUUGGGAUGGGCUCGCGGCCUAUCAGCUUGUUGGUGAGGUAAUGGCUCACCAAGGCGACGACGGGUAGCCGGCCUGAGAGGGCGACCGGCCACACUGGGACUGAGACACGGCCCAAACUCCUACGGGAGGCAGCAGUGGGGAAUAUUGCACAAUGGGCGAAAGCCUGAUGCACCGACGCCGCGUGAGGGAUGACGGCCUUCGGGUUGUAAACCUCUUUCAGCAGGGAAGAAGCGAAAGUGACGGUACCUGCAGAAGAAGCACCGGCUAACUACGUGCCAGCAGCCGCGGUAAUACGUAGGGUGCGAGCGUUGUCCGGAAUUAUUGGGCGUAAAGAGCUUGUAGGCGGUUUGUCGCGUCUGCUGUGAAAAUCCGGGGCUCAACCCCGGACUUGCAGUGGGUACGGGCAGACUAUAGUGUGGUAGGGGAGACUGGAAUUCCUGGUGUAGCGGUGAAAUGCGCAGAUAUCAGGAGGAACACCGAUGGCGAAGGCAGGUCUCUGGGCCACUACUGACGCUGAGAAGCGAAAGCAUGGGGAGCGAACAGGAUUAGAUACCCUGGUAGUCCAUGCCGUAAACGUUGGGAACUAGGUGUGGGUCUCAUUCCACGAGAUCCGUGCCGCAGCUAACGCAUUAAGUUCCCCGCCUGGGGAGUACGGCCGCAAGGCUAAAACUCAAAGGAAUUUGACGGGGGCCCGCACAAGCGGCGGAGCAUGCGGAUUAAUUCGAUGCAACGCGAAGAACCUUACCAAGGCUUGACUUAUACCGAAAACUUCCAGA